UACGAAGGGGACUAGCGUUGUUCGGAAUUACUGGGCGUAAAGCGUGCGUAGGCGGUUCGCUGUGUCCGAUGUGAAAGCCCCGGGCUUAACCUGGGAAUGGCAUUGGAAACUGGCGGGCUUGAGUGCGGCAGAGGGGGGUGGAAUUCCGCGUGUAGCAGUGAAAUGCGUAGAGAUGCGGAGGAACACCGAUGGCGAAGGCAGCCCCCUGGGUCGACACUGACGCUCAGGCACGAAAGCGUGGGGAGCAAACAGG
RNAcentral lists this ribosomal RNA (253 nucleotides) under uncultured bacterium. Its description in RNAcentral is "partial 16S ribosomal RNA". It matches the Rfam family "Bacterial small subunit ribosomal RNA", at positions 524 to 776 of the family's 1533-position model. The record is from RNAcentral.